UGGGGAAUCUUCCGCAAUGGGCGAAAGCCUGACGGAGCAACGCCGCGUGAGUGAAGAAGGUCUUCGGAUCGUAAAGCUCUGUCGAAGGGGACGAACGUAGUUCUUGUGAAUAAUGAGAGCUAAUGACGGUACCUUUCAAGAAAGCCACGGCUAACUACGUGCCAGCAGCCGCGGUAAUACGUAGGUGGCGAGCGUUGUCCGGAAUGAUUGGGCGUAAAGGGAGCGCAGGCGGGAAAGUAAGUCUAUCUUAAAAGUGCGGGGCUCAACCCCGUGAGGGGAUGGAAACUAUUUUUCUUGAGUGCAGGAGAGGAAAGCGGAAUUCCUAGUGUAGCGGUGAAAUGCGUAGAUAUUAGGGGGAACACCAGUGGCGAAGGCGGCUUUCUGGACUGUAACUGACGCUGAGGCUCGAAAGCCAGGGGAGCGAACGGGAUUAGAUACCCUGGUAGU
Molecule: ribosomal RNA, 447 nt
Filed under: uncultured Selenomonas sp.
Lineage: Bacteria; Bacillati; Bacillota; Negativicutes; Selenomonadales; Selenomonadaceae
Description: bacterial SSU rRNA
Rfam family: Bacterial small subunit ribosomal RNA
Source: RNAcentral